CCAUGAAAACAAUAGCCUGUGGUGAAACAGCUUGUCAUGGAUACUAAUGAAAAAUUGCCCGAGACAUCCUGAUGGGAUUCCUCCUGCAUUCAUUCUGCCCUUAAGGUCUGGGAAUUCAGUGAACACAAAAAGAUUUCAUUAUUGCUUCCCUGAUGUAACCAGGAGGAUUUAAAUAACCGAUGGGGGUGGAUACUCCUUUCUUUCUGACCUGAACCUUAUUGCAAAACACCAAGUGGAUAAAUGUAAAUUCUAAAGUUCCCUGGUUUUCUCCAGGACACACCCAGAAAGAUUCAUCACUCUGACAAAAGUUUAAAUGCUUAUAAUCCAUUUGUAAUGGAGCAUUUGGGAUGGAAUUAUAUAUGGAGAACUAUCCAUUUUGAGGGAAGACUUAUGGAAAAAUUAUCAGUUCAAUAUUGUAAGUCCAGGGAAAAAGAAAGGAAUGAAUUGGACUCAG
Molecule: long non-coding RNA, 454 nt
Organism: Prionailurus viverrinus (fishing cat)
Lineage: Eukaryota; Metazoa; Chordata; Mammalia; Carnivora; Felidae
Exons: 3
Source: RefSeq, a predicted model, not a curated record